AACGAACGCUGGCGGCAUGCCUAACACAUGCAAGUCGAACGAGAUCUUCGGGUCUAGUGGCGCACGGGUGCGUAACGCGUGGGAAUCUGCCCUUUGGUUCGGAAUAACAGUUGGAAACGACUGCUAAUACCGGAUGAUGACGCAAGUCCAAAGAUUUAUCGCCAGAGGAUGAGCCCGCGUAGGAUUAGCUAGUUGGUGUGGUAAAGGCGCACCAAGGCGACGAUCCUUAGCUGGUCUGAGAGGAUGAUCAGCCACACUGGGACUGAGACACGGCCCAGCCUCCUACGGGAGGCAGCAGUGGGGAUAUUGGACAAUGGGCGAAAGCCUGAUCCAGCAAUGCGGCGUGAGUGAUGAAGGCCUUAGGGUUGUAAAGCUCUUUUACCCGGGAUGAUAAUGACAGUACCGGGAGAAUAAGCUCCGGCUAACUCCGUGCCAGCCGCCGCCGUAA
Molecule: ribosomal RNA, 448 nt
Filed under: uncultured bacterium
Lineage: Bacteria
Description: partial 16S ribosomal RNA
Rfam family: Bacterial small subunit ribosomal RNA
Source: RNAcentral